RNAcentral lists this ribosomal RNA (429 nucleotides) under Bacteroidota bacterium. RNAcentral's name for it is "Bacteroidetes bacterium partial 16S ribosomal RNA". It matches the Rfam family "Bacterial small subunit ribosomal RNA", at positions 355 to 776 of the family's 1533-position model. The record is from RNAcentral. Lineage: Bacteria; Pseudomonadati; Bacteroidota.
UAGGGAAUCUUCCGCAAUGGACGCAAGUCUGACGGAGCAACGCCGCGUGAGUGAAGAAGGAUUUCGGUUCGUAAAACUCUGUUGUUAGAGAAGAACAGCGCAUAGAGUAACUGUUAUGCGUGUGACGGUAUCUAACCAGAAAGCCACGGCUAACUACGUGCCAGCAGCCGCGGUAAUACGUAGGUGGCAAGCGUUGUCCGGACUUAUUGGGCGUAAAGCGAGCGCAGGCGGUAAAUUAAGUCUGAUGUGAAAGCCCCCGGCUCAACCGGGGAGGGUUAUUGGAAACUUGUUGAGUUGAUUGCAGAAGAGGAGAGUGGAAUUCGAGGUGUAGCGGUGAAAUGCGUAGAUAUAUAGAGGAACAACAGUGGCGAAGGCGACUGUCUGGUCUGUAACUGCCGCUGCGGUUAGAAAGCGUGGGUAGCAAACAGG